Molecule: long non-coding RNA, 555 nt
Organism: Oreochromis niloticus (Nile tilapia)
Lineage: Eukaryota; Metazoa; Chordata; Actinopteri; Cichliformes; Cichlidae
Exons: 2
Source: RefSeq, a predicted model, not a curated record
AAGAGGUAAAUGUGCUAAAAAAGUGUAGCGUACUGCAAAAUAUUGUCACCAGUGUUGUAGUAGACUGUAAUUAGCUUAGGAAGCUAAGUUUCUUUGGCGAUGACUCCAUGUUUGUGACCAUUUCUGUAGAGUUCUGAACGUGUGACGGGUGUAUGUUUAAUGGUCACGUGCUGUGGGAAGGACUGAAGAGCGGGUUGGCGUGAGUAAUGACAGUGUCCUAACAGAUUUCAAAGUUGUUAAGUUUAUACUGUUAUUCACUGUGCAUAACUCUGUAUGUUUUUGUUUGAUUCAGAGGGGAGAUCACUUGCUAUGUGAUUCCUGCGUGUGUACUUGUUCUAGCAGUGGCUGUGUGGAGAAACCAAAGUCACUACUGUUGUCUAUACUGUUUGAAUUUAAUGUGUACAUAUGAUAGUUACUGUUGUCUCAGACCCUGAAAGACAGUUUUAGGCUGAGCCAGUGGAUAAGUUAAAUUUUGCCGUUUUCACUCAAAACUAUAGAAUAAAAACUGUGCUCCUCCGAGUACAGUCGGAGAAUAAAAAAGCCCACAAAAGAGUA